Molecule: transfer RNA, 74 nt
Filed under: Terfezia boudieri ATCC MYA-4762
Lineage: Eukaryota; Fungi; Ascomycota; Pezizomycetes; Pezizales; Pezizaceae
Rfam family: tRNA
About the family: Transfer RNA (tRNA) molecules are approximately 80 nucleotides in length.
Source: Rfam by way of RNAcentral
GGUCGCGUGGCUCAAUCAGGCAGAGCAUUGUGCUAAAAACAUGAAGGUUGUGAGUUCGAGUCUCACCGUGACCA